Molecule: ribosomal RNA, 488 nt
Filed under: uncultured bacterium
Lineage: Bacteria
Description: bacterial SSU rRNA
Rfam family: Bacterial small subunit ribosomal RNA
Source: RNAcentral
AACGAACGCUGGCGGCAGGCCUAAAACAUGCAAGUCGAACGCCCCGCAAGGGGAGUGGCGCACGGGUGAGUAACGCGUGGGAAUGUGCCCCUUAGUACGGGACAACGUCGGGAAACUGACGCUAAUACCGUAUAAUAUCUCAGGAUCAAAGAUUUAUCGCUGAGGGAGCAGCCCGCGUCUGAUUAGCUAGUUGGUGAGGUAAUGGCUCACCAAGGCGACGAUCCGUAGCGGGUCUGAGAGGAUGAUCCGCCACACUGGGACUGAGACACGGCCCAGACUCCUACGGGAGGCAGCAGUGGGAAUUUUGGACAAUGGGCGCAAGCCUGAUCCAGCCAUGCCGCGUGAGUGAAGAAGGCCUUCGGUUGUAAAGCUCUUUCUAGACGGAAAGAAAUACGACGCGCUCUAACAUAAGCGACGUGGAUGACGGUACCGUAAGAAGAAGACACCGCGUAACUACGUGCCAGCAGCCGCGGUAAGCUCGUCGUCUA